Molecule: ribosomal RNA, 400 nt
Filed under: uncultured Alphaproteobacteria bacterium
Lineage: Bacteria; Pseudomonadati; Pseudomonadota; Alphaproteobacteria
Description: bacterial SSU rRNA
Rfam family: Bacterial small subunit ribosomal RNA
Source: RNAcentral
ACCAACCCUUCGGGGUGAGUGGCAGUACGGGUGCGUAACACGUGGGAAACCUACCUUAAGGUACGGAACAACACCGAGAAAUUGGUGCUAAUACCGUAUGUGCCCUUCGGGGGAAAGAUUUAUCGCCUUAAGAUGGGCCCGCGGCAGAUUAGGUAGUUGGCGGGGUAAUGGCCUACCAAGCCGACGAUCUGUAGCUGGUCUGAGAGGAUGAUCAGCCACACUGGGACUGAGACACGGCCCAGACUCCUACGGGAGGCAGCAGUGGGGAAUAUUGGACAAUGGGCGAAAGCCUGAUCCAGCGAUGCCGCGUGAGUGAUGAAGGCCUUAGGGUUGUAAAACUCUUUCGCUAGGGAAGAUAAUGACGGUACCUAGUAAAGAAGCCCCGGCUAAUUUCGUGCCA